UCCUACGGGGGGCAGCAGUGAGGAAUAUUGGUCAAUGGGCGGAAGCCUGAACCAGCCAAGUCGCGUGAGGGAAUAAGGCCCUACGGGUCGUAAACCUCUUUUGCCGGGGAGCAAGGGCGGGGACGUGUCCCGGCCCGGAGAGUACCCGGAGAAAAAGCAUCGGCUAACUACGUGCCAGCAGCCGCGGUAAUACGUAGGUGGCAAGCGUUGUCCGGAUUUACUGGGUGUAAAGGGCGUGCAGCCGGAGAGACAAGUCAGAUGUGAAAUCCACGGGCUCAACCCGUGAACUGCAUUUGAAACUGUUU
This 305-nucleotide ribosomal RNA is filed under the name uncultured bacterium. Its description in RNAcentral is "bacterial SSU rRNA". It matches the Rfam family "Bacterial small subunit ribosomal RNA", at positions 337 to 638 of the family's 1533-position model. The record is from RNAcentral.